Molecule: unclassified non-coding RNA, 404 nt
Filed under: soil metagenome
Description: partial contains 5.8S ribosomal RNA, internal transcribed spacer 2, and large subunit ribosomal RNA
Rfam family: 5.8S ribosomal RNA (bases 1-121)
Source: RNAcentral
GAUGAAGAACGUAGCGAAAUGCGAUAAGUAAUGUGAAUUGCAGAAUUCAGUGAAUCAUCGAAUCUUUGAACGCACCUUGCGCCCUUUGGCUAUUCCGAAGGGCAUGCCUGUUUGAGUAUCAUGAACACCUCAACCCUCAUGGUUUGCCAUGAUGGGCUUGGACUUUGGGGGUCUUGCUGGAUUGUAGUCAGCUCCCCUUAAAUGAAUCAGCUUGCCAGUGUUUGGUGGCAUCACAGGUGUGAUAAAUAUCUACGCUUGUGGUUUUACAUCAGAUAACCUUCAGUGAUGGAGGUUCACUGGAGCUCAUAAAGGUGUCUCUCCUCUGUGAGGACAGCUCUUUGAAUGUUUGAUAUCAAAUCAGGCAGGACUACCCGCUGAACUUAAGCAUAUCAAUAAGCGGAGGA